This 209-nucleotide long non-coding RNA is filed under the name Crocodylus porosus (Australian saltwater crocodile). RNAcentral's name for it is "lncRNA (ENSCPRG00005018882.1)". The record is from RNAcentral. Lineage: Eukaryota; Metazoa; Chordata; Crocodylia; Crocodylidae.
CCAAGCUGCUAAUAGGAAGUUUCGUUCAUCUUGCUUGGGUGAAUGCUCAGAUAGGAUCUGAUCAGCAGAGGUGCUCGCUGCAACUGAACUUGGGCAACUUCAACUCCCACUCAAUGCGUUUGCCAGGUCCCAGAACCAGUCCACAGACAGCUCAGGGAGAAAAGGACCUAGAGCUGAGAAUCUCAGUUGUCCCAGAUGUGGAAGUAAGG